GCCGAGGUGGCGGAAUUGGUAGACGCGCUAGCUUGAGGGGCUAGUGGCCUCCGGGCUGUGCGGGUUCGAGUCCCGCCCUCGGCA
RNAcentral lists this transfer RNA (84 nucleotides) under Chloroflexota bacterium. RNAcentral's name for it is "Chloroflexi bacterium tRNA-Leu". It matches the Rfam family "tRNA". Rfam says of the family: Transfer RNA (tRNA) molecules are approximately 80 nucleotides in length. The record is from RNAcentral. Lineage: Bacteria; Bacillati; Chloroflexota.